Long non-coding RNA from Cebus imitator (Panamanian white-faced capuchin), 1885 nucleotides. RefSeq lists it as uncharacterized. The record is from RefSeq and is a predicted model, not a curated record. NCBI's taxonomy places the organism in Eukaryota, Metazoa, Chordata, Mammalia, Primates, Cebidae. The transcript has 6 exons.
UUACUGGAGUUGUGCGCAUGCCCACUUGAGGUAUUUUUCUCUUACCAGCACAAUGUCCCUUGGAGGUCACAGAUCAGUUAAACUCUGCCAUUGUGCCUUUUACUGGGCAUGCUUGAGCCCACUGGCCCAGCUCCCGAGGUCUUAUCAGGAAGCUGCUGAUCACCACUUUCAAGUGUUUCUGUUUAUUGGGAGACUGCCUUUGCCUGGCACCAGCUGUGACCAAUUAUUAUUUUAGAGAGACAGUUAACAGGCGCCUGACCAUCCCCUGCUGAACAGCCUGACAUUCCUGGUGUGUGUGGUGGGGGGUGUGAGGGGCGCUCUCUCCUGCCCUGCUCGUGUCUGACUCAUUGGAUUCUGCAGAGUGGAAGUGGGAGACCCCUUCUGACCCUGGCCACCUGUCUCCGUGCGAAGGCAGAUCCAUUUGAGUGAGAGUCCUAGGCAGUACCUCAACUGCCUCUCACUACCCAGGACAAAUAAACCCACUUGACUGUGAUGUGCUUUUUGUGACUACAUUGUGAGAUUGGAUUUUCAGAUAUUUUAUUUAGAAUUUUUGCAUCUAUAUUCUUUGGGAGGUCCACGGAGCACUUUCUUUUCGUUUAGAGCAUUGGUGGCUCCACAAUAGAUGCAUGCUAUGUAGCCGUUCCGGCUACAGCUGCCCAAGUCUGCCUGAGCCUCCUGCAUGAGGCCAUUGGUCUUAAUAAAGCCACUGACCCCCACACUCGGAAUUGUACUGACUUUUCACAGCUAACAGCCAACACUUGCCGAGAAGCAAUUCUGUUGUUGAGGAUAUCACAUCAUGCCAGGGAAACAGAGAUGGAAUUCAGAAAACCUGGGAUAUUGCAGUUCAGAUAAAUUGCACUUGGUCAACGGAAACGUCCUAAGGGCAUUGCGGCUGCAGCUGGAGAAUGAAGAAGACAUAAAAUUAGGGCUUUUGUCACUGUUGCUUGAUUUCAUUAAAGGGCAUUAGUUUUCCGCGAGAUGUAUGGGAUUGGAGAGGACAGGAGCCGGAAGCCCCCAGUACAGCAGCAAGGCCAGUGCCAGUGAGGACCCGGAGCCUCAUUUCUGCUGCCACGUGCCUGGACUGCACUGUGCUCCCCACCCUGCCAUGCCCGGCCCAGUGGUGCUCUGCUCUAUCCCCCUCAGCCAGCCUGAGACUGGCCCCCAGUGUGUUGUGACUCCUGGGGUCUCUCAGCUGUCCCUCAGCCCCCAGGAGAAUUUCCCUCCCCUGCAGCAGCUGCCUGAUGGGGAGACUGGCCCCUCUCUGGGACUGACUGAUCCAGGUUUAUCCUGAAAGCAGCCUCUCCCCAGGUCAGAAGACCUCUCAGGCUCUGUUUCUAGGGAGCCUGACCUGCUGACAAUGCUCCUAGCUGGAUUCUGUAAGUGGUCUUGAAUAAAGUCUUCCUUACUGUUUUAACAUGAGACAGGAGAAGUUAUCACGUAACAUCUUGUACAAAGAGGAAACCUGGACACAGAAGUGGACGUGCACUCAGAGGGAGAACGCUGCCAUGUGACAGAGAUCAGGUGAUGCAUCUCCAAGCCGAGCAACCCCAGGGAUUGCCAAAAACCACCAGGAGCUGCAGAGGCCUAGGACAGACCCUCCCACAGAGUCUCAAGACAGCCAGCCCUUCCCACGCUUUCAUCUCUGAUGUCCGACCUCAAGAACCAUGAGAGAUGAGAGAACCCACUUCCAAGGGUGAAGCCUCCCAGUCUGUGGUCCCCUGUCCCAGCAGCCCUGGGAACCUGACCCCUGGUGCCUCUGCAUCCCUGGCAUUGCCCUGCCCUCUCACUCCUGUUCUCCAGUGAAUCCAACACACUCUUAGUGAGAUAGCCAGGUGGCAAGGGGUCCUCAGAGAAACUCCAGCCCGCCUGUGCAUUGGGAAUGUGC